CAGGAGAUCCACAAGAGGAAGUGAUGUCACAGCAGACACAGAGAGUGUCCAUCCAGACCCUAACAGUGACCCUAACAGUGACAUGUACUCACCUCUGAACAUGAAUACCAGGUCACCAGAGUAUGACACCCUGACAAAUGUGAGGGACUCCCCUAGUGACACAGUCCCUCAGAUAGAUGCUGAGCCCUCAGAUUAUGAGAACUGAAGAGAACCACCACAGAACCUGGACUGAAGAGAACCACCACAGAACCUGGACUGAAGAGAACCACCACAGAACCUGGACUGAAGACAACC
Salvelinus namaycush (lake trout) is the source of this 294-nucleotide long non-coding RNA. RefSeq lists it as uncharacterized. The record is from RefSeq and is a predicted model, not a curated record. Lineage: Eukaryota; Metazoa; Chordata; Actinopteri; Salmoniformes; Salmonidae. The transcript is spliced from 3 exons.